UUGACCUCAAAUCGGGUGAGACUACCCGCUGAACUUAAGCAUAUCAAUAAGCGGAGGAAAAGAAACUAACAAGGAUUCCCCUAGUAACUGCGAGUGAAGCGGGAAAAGCUCAAAUUUAAAAUCUGGUGGCCUUUGGUCACUCGAGUUGUAAUUUAGAGAAGCGUCUUCCGCGCUGGACCGUGCACAAGUCUCCUGGAAUGGAGCGUCAUAGAGGGUGAGAAUCCCGUCUUUGGCACGGAUGCCAGGGCUUUUGUGAUGCGCUCUCAAAGAGUCGAGUUGUUUGGGAAUGCAGCUCAAAAUGGGUGGUGAACUCCAUCUAAAGCUAAAUAUUGGCGAGAGACCGAUAGCGAACAAGUACCGUGAGGGAAAGAUGAAAAGCACUUUGGAAAGAGAGUGAAACAGUACGUGAAAUUGUUGAAAGGGAAACGCUUGAAGUCAGUCGCGUUGACCGAGACUCAGCCUUGCCUCGGCUUGGUGUACUUCUCGGCUAACGGGCCAGCAUCAAUUUUGCCCCUCGGAUAAUGGCAAGGGAAAGGUAGCACCUUUUAGGUGUGUUAUAGUCUCUUGUCGCAUACGAGGGUUGGGAUUGAGGAACUCUGCACGCUACGUGCUUAGGAUGCUGGCGUAAUGGCUUUAAACGACCCGUCUUGAAACACGGACCAAGGAGUCUAACGUGCCCGCGAGUGUUUGGGUGGAAAACCCAUGCGCGAAAUGAAAGUGAAAGUUGGGACCCCUGUCGUGGGGGGCACCGACGCCCGGACCAGACCUUCUGUGACGGAUCUGCGGUAGAGCGUGCAUGUUGGGACCCGAAAGAUGGUGAACUAUGCCUGAAUAGGGUGAAGCCAGAGGAAACUCUGGUGGAGGCUCGUAGCGAUUCUGACGUGCAAAUCGAUCGUCAAAUUUGGGUAUAGGGGCGAAAGACUAAUCGAACCAUCUAGUAGCUGGUUCCUGC
Molecule: ribosomal RNA, 952 nt
Filed under: Russula sp.
Lineage: Eukaryota; Fungi; Basidiomycota; Agaricomycetes; Russulales; Russulaceae
Description: partial large subunit ribosomal RNA
Rfam family: Eukaryotic large subunit ribosomal RNA
Source: RNAcentral